RNAcentral lists this ribosomal RNA (464 nucleotides) under uncultured bacterium. RNAcentral's name for it is "partial 16S ribosomal RNA". It matches the Rfam family "Bacterial small subunit ribosomal RNA", at positions 339 to 795 of the family's 1533-position model. The record is from RNAcentral.
CUACGGGCCGCAGCAGUGGGGAAUAUUGCACAAUGGGCGCAAGCCUGAUGCAGCCAUGCCGCGUGUAUGAAGAAGGCCUUCGGGUUGUAAAGUACUUUCAGCGGGGAGGAAGGGAGUAAAGUUAAUACCUUUGCUCAUUGACGUUACCCGCAGAAGAAGCACCGGCUAACUCCGUGCCAGCAGCCGCGGUAAUACGGAGGGUGCAAGCGUUAAUCGGAAUUACUGGGCGUAAAGGGCACGCAGGCGGUUUGUUAAGUCAGAUGUGAAAUCCCCGGGCUCAACCUGGGAACUGCAUCUGAAACUGGCAAGCUUGAGUCUCGGAGAGGGGGGUAGAAUUCCAGGUGUAGCGGUGAAAUGCGUAGAGAUCUGGAGGAAUACCGGUGGCGAAGGCGGCCCCCUGGACGAAGACUGACGCUCAGGUGCGAAAGCGUGGGGAGCAAACAGGAUUAGAUACCCUUGUAGUC